Apis cerana (Asiatic honeybee) is the source of this 546-nucleotide long non-coding RNA. RefSeq lists it as uncharacterized. NCBI's taxonomy places the organism in Eukaryota, Metazoa, Arthropoda, Insecta, Hymenoptera, Apidae. The record is from RefSeq and is a predicted model, not a curated record.
AUUUAUUUAAGCACAACACGUUGGGGCCGUAUACAUUGCGUCCUUGCAACGAACACGAAAACUCGACGCGUGCCCGUUUGCAAUUAUACACAUAUACGUAUAUAUUCGUGUCUUUCCGUAUUACGAAGAUAAUUCGUCAAAUUAGAGAAAGGCAUUCCAUUCGCAUGUUCUGCUGCAUGUGCACGUUAUCAUAGAUUAAUUAUAUUAUUGAUUAUAUAUAGUUGAUGGAUAUCAUCGUAAAAAUAAUUUUUUAUUUUAUCAGGUGGCACGUUUCGUUUAUAGGUUAGAAAUUUUUACCAUUGGGUACAAUUUGAAGAAUAUUGAACUUAAUCUUUUCAAUUUUUCUUUUAAAUUUAAGUAAUUGGAUUUUAAACGAUGUUUUUGUUACGUAUAAAUUCAUAUGGAACAGAUGAAAUAUUUUUGAUAUUACACUCAGAUUAUAAUUUUAUUCAUUGUAGAUGAUUUAAUGUAAAAUAUUGAUUAUCAGAAUUUUAAUUUUUUGUUUUGUAUAAAAAGCAAAGAUAAACAUUUUUCAUUUUUCGUUCA